Molecule: ribosomal RNA, 500 nt
Filed under: uncultured Myrionecta
Lineage: Eukaryota; Ciliophora; Litostomatea; Cyclotrichida; Mesodiniidae
Description: SSU rRNA
Rfam family: Eukaryotic small subunit ribosomal RNA
Source: RNAcentral
AUCUUUUCUCAAGACUACUCCAUGCACGUCUAGUACAAACUAAAUGAUGGUGAAACUGCAAAUGGCUCAUUACAACGGUUAUGAUGUACCCGGGAGUUCCGAUGGAUAUUUCCAGUAACACUAGAACUAAUACAUGUCCCUGCGUUUAUUAGUUUCGCACAGUCCGUCGCUGAGUCAUGGUAAACAGUUGAUCGACUCGACGUCCCGGAACAGUUUCCGCCCCAUCAGCUUCGAUGGUUGGGUAUUGGCCUACCAUUGCAACAACGGGUAACGAGGAAUUAGGGUUUGAUUUCGGAGAGGGAGCCUGAGAAACGGCUACCACAUCUACGGAUGGCAGCAGGCGCGCAAAUUACCCAAUGCAGACACUGUGAGGUAGUGACGAGAAAUAAUAAAGCGGGACUUCUGUUUCGCUAUUAUAAUGAGGAAUAACCAAAGGUCAUUCCGAUUAGCAACUGAUGGGAAAGUCUGGUGCCAGCAGCCGCGGUAAUACCAGCGUCAGU